RNAcentral lists this ribosomal RNA (505 nucleotides) under uncultured bacterium. RNAcentral describes it as "partial 16S ribosomal RNA". It matches the Rfam family "Bacterial small subunit ribosomal RNA", at positions 28 to 507 of the family's 1533-position model. The record is from RNAcentral.
GACGAACGCUGGCGGCGUGCCUAAUACAUGCAAGUAGAACGCACAGUUUAUACCGUAGCUUGCUACACCAUAGACUGUGAGUUGCGAACGGGUGAGUAACGCGUAGGUAACCUGCCUGGUAGCGGGGGAUAACUAUUGGAAACGAUAGCUAAUACCGCAUAAUAUUAAUUAUUGCAUGAUAAUUAAUUGAAAGGUGCAAUUGCACCACUACCAGAUGGACCUGCGUUGUAUUAGCUAGUAGGUGAGGUAACGGCUCACCUAGGCGACGAUACAUAGCCGACCUGAGAGGGUGAUCGGCCACACUGGGACUGAGACACGGCCCAGACUCCUACGGGAGGCAGCAGUAGGGAAUCGUCGGCAAUGGACGAAAGUCUGACCGAGCAACGCCGCGUGAGUGAAGAAGGUGUUCGGAUCGUAAAGCUCUGUUGUAGGAGAAGAACGGGUGUGAGAGUGGAAAGUUCACACUGUGACGGUAUCUUACCAGAAAGGGACGGCUAACUACGUG